Molecule: ribosomal RNA, 254 nt
Filed under: uncultured bacterium
Lineage: Bacteria
Description: partial 16S ribosomal RNA
Rfam family: Bacterial small subunit ribosomal RNA
Source: RNAcentral
GACGAACCGUGCGAACGUUAUUCGGAAUCACUGGGCUUAAAGCGCGUGUAGGCGGAUGGGGACGUCGGUAGCUGAAAUCCCCCGGCUCAACCGGGGAAGUGGCGCCGAAACGCCCCGUCUGGAGGGACGUAGGGGGACCUGGAACUUCCGGUGGAGCGGUGAAAUGCGCUGAGAUCGGAAGGAACGCCCGUGGCGAAAGCGAGGUCCUGGACGUUUUCUGACGCUGAGACGCGAAAGCUAGGGUAGCGAACGGG